Molecule: ribosomal RNA, 498 nt
Filed under: uncultured bacterium
Lineage: Bacteria
Description: partial 16S ribosomal RNA
Rfam family: Bacterial small subunit ribosomal RNA
Source: RNAcentral
GAUGAACGCUGGCGGCGUGCCUAAUACAUGCAAGUCGAGCGAACAGACGAGGAGCUUGCUCCUCUGACGUUAGCGGCGGACGGGUGAGUAACACGUGGAUAACCUACCUAUAAGACUGGGAUAACUUCGGGAAACCGGAGCUAAUACCGGAUAAUAUAUUGAACCGCAUGGUUCAAUAGUGAAAGACGGUUUUGCUGUCACUUAUAGAUGGAUCCGCGCCGCAUUAGCUAGUUGGUAAGGUAACGGCUUACCAAGGCAACGAUGCGUAGCCGACCUGAGAGGGUGGUCGGCCACACUGGAACCGAGACACGGUCCAGACUCCUACGGGAGGCAGCAGUAGGGAAUCUUCCGCAAUGGGCGAAAGCCUGACGGAGCAACGCCGCGUGAGUGAUGAAGGUCUUCGGAUCGUAAAACUCUGUUAUUAGGGAAGAACAAAUGUGUAAGUAACUAUGCACGUCUUGACGGUACCUAAUCAGAAAGCCACGGCUAACUACGUGC